Molecule: long non-coding RNA, 9068 nt
Filed under: Homo sapiens (human)
Lineage: Eukaryota; Metazoa; Chordata; Mammalia; Primates; Hominidae
Description: HSALNT0409472
Source: RNAcentral
AGAUUUGUUAUAUGUAUUCAUUAUUUUAAUGAUAUAAAUUGUGUUAUUUUCACUUUUGAAUUAUUCAUUACUAAUGUAUGGAAAUACAACUGGGUUUUAUAUGUUGAUAUUAUUUGCCUCAACGUUUCAGAAUUGACUUAUUAGCUUUGAUAGAUAGGUGGUGUAUGUGUUUCCUAGUAUUUGCUAUAUGCAAGAUCUUGCAAAUACAGCCAUCUUCCACAUAACACUUCAGUCAACAACAGGACUACAUAGACAAUGGUGGCCUCAUCAUAUUAUAAUAAUUUUACUGCACCUUUUUAUGUGUAAGUGUGUUUAAGUAAACAAAUGUUUACCAUUGUGUCCUAAUUGCCUACAGUAUUUAGUUUAGCAACAUGCUGCACAGGUUUGUAGCCUGAGAGCAAUAGGCUAUAUCAUAUAGCCUAGGUGUGUGGUAAGCUAAACUAUCCAGGUUUCUGUGGGUACAGUCUAUGAUAUUUGCACAAUGACAAAAUCACCUACAUAUGCCAUUCUUAGAAUGUAUCUCUGUUGUUAAAUCACCUAUGCAUGCCAUUCUCAGAAUGUAUCUCUGUUGUUAAGUGACACAUGAGUAUAUACUAUUACAUCUUCCUUUGCAAUCUGGAUACUAACAGUUGUACUGUUUCUCAACUGUUGUGUCCUCAGCAUUGGGAGGAUGUUUUGAGCCAAAUAACUUGGGCCCAGCUUUCCAAAGUAAAACUAAUCUACUAACUGAAGAAACCUUAGGGCUGGAUAUUCAGCCCUUAAUUUGUAAAAGGAUAUUUGCAUAGCCCUUUGCUGGGUGAAGGAGAAGUAAGGGAAAGACUUCCAAAGGUCAGUUUCCCAGCCAGAUUACUGAGGAAUUCCAAUUGCUAAUGACCACAGGGUGGGCGACACAGUGGUACACUGGGUACACUGCCAGCUGACACUGGCCACACCUACACAGCAUCUCUGAAUGCAUGUGGUUAAAAUUUCCUGGUGAAUUUAGGAUCCAAAAAAGAAUUCUAGGUCUUCUGUCCAGGUAGAAGCAUCUAGUUCUGGCUUGUUGACUCUGUCCCUGCUUCAUCUUAUAUUUCUACCUCAUGCGCAUAUACAAUCAAAUGUGUUGAGUCUGGGAAGAGUAGAGAAAAGGUGGUACAAUGCCUGUCUCCCUAGGUGCAGUGGGUUAGCAGACCCUCUGGACAUGCGACCAGAUCAGAGACCAGGCCUAUGCGUCCACCAAAUAGGUGAUGGCGAUUGUUCAGGAUUUGUGCUCUGUGCUUGGUAUUUCAUCUUACUACAGAGGACAGACGAAAGAGCUGUGUAUUGGAGCCUGCAGAUGGAUGGGGAUGGAUAUGACAGUAGAUUUCUUCUUCUGAGAAUACACUUUCAACCUCUUGUUAACACAAUGGCAGUCUUUGCUCUUCACUUCCUGAGCUGACCCUGUGAGCAUUACCUAAUGCUUUCCUGAGCCUCUAGUUGCUUUGUAGUCAGUGAAGGAGAUGGCUUUCACCCUUAACGUCUCCAAAAGUAACUUUAGUUCCCAAAUACUUACUAAUUUGCAUUGGUUUCGGGUAGGCUGGACUCACACACCAUCUCUGCAGUGCAAUGCCAUGUUCACUUCUGAAAUCCCAAAACCCGAAAGGAUGGAUUCCCACUGAGACCUAUAGAGGAAAGCUGCUGAAGAGAAAGGACAGCAGAGAUACAAUUGCCUAUGUUGAGAGAUGCUCUUGAGUCCCAUAACAUACAACCUACCAGUUUUCUGCAACCCGAAAGCCCAGGGCUGGCACUAUAAUCUUAACUAGUCACUACAUAAGGCUUUUGUUUUUAUGAUGUCUAUCCAUAGUUAUAGUUCUUCAUUCCACAGAUGCGGAAAAACUGUGUUAUCCUUGAGAAUUUGAUAUCUCAGGACUGUGCAAUGUGGAUGUCCUCUGUCUCCCAGUAUGGUGUCCCACUCUGAUGGUAGACUGACAUCCAGCACCAUACAGCUGAGUUUACCCAGCCCAGGCAAAAACCUCAAAAAAUUGAAAAAAUAAAAUAAAAAUCAAAAUAAAAUAGUAGAGAAACAAUUUUUUUUUUAGGCAAAAAGUAUUAUCACCUAAAUUAACAACAGUCCUCAUCUUAUUCUCCACAGGAAAAAUAUCUAAACACAGGACCCUGCCUGCCCAGUGACUAAUCUUACUGACCCUCCUAGAUUUAACUAGGCUCACAGAUUCCUAAAAUUCUUCCAGUAUAAGAAGAGAUCAGCCUGCAGAAAUGCUUUAAAAUUGUUCCGAGGUUUAGAUACAAAAUUAAUCAGGUAAAGUGAGAGAAUGGAAGAUUUUAAGAGACAAUUCCUUCAGAUGAAAUAUUGGGCUGUGCAAAGGAGCUGCCUAAAACAUGACCUGCUUGAGGUGCUAGUGUUAUUUCAGCCUCAGUAGGAAGAUCUCAGAAGAUCUCACUUAUUAGCAUUUGCUAAAUGACAUUGACCUGCAGCAUAGGUGGGAGCAAAAAGAGGCAGUUUCACCUGGCUGCUAGCCCCAAUUCAAUAAGAAAUAUUUAUUACCAAACUGAAAUUCUUCUGAGAAAUCUCCUAAUCUGUAAUGUGGGAACAAUAACACCAGCUUGUGUACCUCACACAAGUUUCAGAAGAUAGAACAUGUUCAAGUGCUGUGCAUAUGUGUCCUAAUAAUUCACUGUAAUAAAAAUUGGGUCACCCCAUUCUAGAAAAGACACUCAUUUGCUGAUUUAUUUUAUAAGUAAAGGUCAGCUCUUCUACAAAUCCAUGUAGGAAUGUAGGAGAAAAAGAGAAACUAAUAUUUUGUAUUUCUGUUUCUUUCACUUCAAAUUGCAUUUUGUAACUAAUGUAAAAACUUUACAAGUGCUAUAAGAUCAUUGGGAAUAAACAAAAAAAUUCAGAGAUACCUCUUGUGGAAACUAAGCAAUGAUGAGCUCAUACUCUGUAGUUACCAGAGAGUCUCUCCCUUCAUUGUCUUGAACUAUUUCACAACUUUAUAAAUUGCAGGUAACUUAUAGCAAUGCAAAAUAAUUCUUGUUUAUUGAUAUACAAAUGAAUUAUGUGCAGUGACAUUUCUAGGGACUUCUCUCAAUCUGCACUGGGUUUAAUCCUGUUUCUGAAAACUUAGUAUCUACCUGGAAUCUCAGAAUGUGCUCUUAUUUGGAAAUAAAAUGAUGGCAAAUAUAAUUAAGUGAAAAUGAGGUCAUCCUGGAGUAAGGAGGUCCCUAAGUCCAAAGACUGUUUUUCUUAAUAAGAAGGCCAUGUAAAAAUGAGGGCAGACAUUGUAGUGACGCAACUUCAAGUAAAAAUACUAAAGACUACCGGCAAACAUCAGAAGUUAGGAGAGAUAGGAAACAGAUUUUUCUCAGAACUCACAGAGGAACCAACUUGGCAACACCUUGAUUUCAGAAUUCUAACCUCUAGGACUGUGAGACAAGAAAGUUUUUCUGUAUUAAGCCACCCGGUUUAUGGUGAUUUCCUAUAGCAGCUCUAGAUAAAAGCACAUUGACACCAUUUACAAAUUUCAUUUAUAUAAUUUCACCAUUCCUAUACUUCAUGUUAAAACUGAGCUUCAUUAACUUUUUUAAACUGCUUAUAACAUGUUACUGAUUUUUUCAUUUAUAAUUUAUUAAAUAAAUUUUAAUGUUUUAUGUUAAAUAAAAUUUUAAUAUGUAUUUUUUGUAUAUUUGUAUGAGCCAUGAUUUUAUCCAACCACAUUUGCAAAAAAUAUAACAAUGAGAAAAUUAUAACAGUAACAGAGAACUGAUCUAACCGUCUUGCCCUUAACCUACCUACUGCCCUUGUUCAUUCCUGGGCAUAAACUAACCUAACUUUGAGAAAAAUUUAGUCUAUAGUUUAAAGGAGAAUAGUCCUUCCCAAAACUAAAUCACCUUUGUAAAACAAUGAAAGACCACCAGGUUAGGACAAUGAGAGGGGCGUGAUCCUGCUAAGAUGUAGAUGUAGUUAAAUGAUUACUGGUCAUUAUUCUGGAGUUGCAAAUUCCCCAAUUACUCCUGUAAUUAACAUCACUUUUGUAGAACUUAAGACUGGCCUUUUGAUGUGUUUUUUCAAGUUUUGUCAUUUUUAACUACCAAAUGGCCCAACUAGACAGGCGACUCUAGACUCAGCCAGUCCUGUUUCUGCCUACCAGAAUUGAACUCAGCACAAGAGGACCACUUUCCACAUCCCUGUGAUUCCAUACCCAACCUAUCAGAAGCACCCAUUCCCUAGCCCCCACCUGCCAAACUGUCUUUGAUAAACCCUAGCCUCCAAGUUGAUAGGAAGGCUGAGUAAUAAUAAAACCCUAGGCUCCUAUUUAGCCAGCUCUAUGUGUAUUUAAUCUCUUCCUCUAUUGCAAUUCACCUACUGAAAAAUCAGCUGUCUCUGGGCUCUGGACAAAAUGAACCCAUUGGGUGGUUACAUCAAGAGUUGGAGGUUAAAAGAAAGAAAAAAGAGCAUCUCAGUGUUGUCAAAACUCAUUUUUGAAAAGAAACCCUUGUGAAGAAUAUUAAUGUAAAGUAGCUUUUUGAUUAUGUACUCUUCUGUUAUUCUGGAGAUCAGAUGCUGGUGUGUGUGUCCACUAUUUCCUGCUCUGGAUCCCUGAACUGUCUCUGACUCAUUCUUGGUCGGCUAAGUAUGAGGUCUCACUCUGUCAUGCAUGAUGGACUGCAGUGGUGCAAUCAUGGCUCACUGUAGCUUCGACCACCCUGGCUCCGGUCAUCAUCCUACCUCAGCCUCCCAGUGGUGUCAGUCAUCAACCUUGUGAUCACUGAGGAAAAGAUACAAUAAUCCUUGCCUAUCCGUGAGUUCUGUCUAUAUGUAUUCAACCAAGUUUAGAUUGAAAAUAUUUUGGGGAAAAAUGGAAGGGUGCACCUGUACUGAACAUGUUCCAACAUUUUCUUGUCAUUGUUACUUAAAUAAUACAGUAUAACAACUAUUUACAUAGCAUUUACACUGCUUUAGUAAUUAUAAAUAAUCUAGGGAUGAUUUAUUUAGAUAGUCUAGGAAUGAUUUAAAUAAUCGAGGAUGGUGAUAUAUGGGAGGAUGUACAUAGGUUAUACAUAAAUACUACACCAUUUUAUAUCAGGGUCUCAAACAUUCAUGUACUUUGGUAUCCAACAGGGAUUCUGGAAUCAAUCCUCCACAGAUAGCAAGGGAUAACUGUAUUAGUUUUUCUUUUCUACACUGUUUAAUGGAUGCUGCACCCUUCCUACUCUAGGACCCAACCAGGAUCCUGAGCCCUCACUUUCUCCCUGCGUUCCUCAUGAUCCAUUUGACUAUAAUGCAGAAAGUUUGUUUAGCUACUGGCUGGUAUCUGUAACUCCUAUGACAGCUCACACUCCUUGAAGAAGAAGAGAGAAAACAGAAGACUUGUCCUGUGGAUAGAUUAUUUCUUCUUCUGUUUGUUUGUUCUUUGUAUGCUCUCGACAACAUCCACAUACACAAAUGCACAUACAUAAACACAGAAACUUUUUCUUAACAUGGACAAUCUGAAAGAGAAAGCAGCACAACAACCAUUUUGGAUGAUCGAGACUAUUUUUAUAUUAUUACAGUACAAUUGCAGAAUGAAUUCAAAAGGGCAAGCCCCUAGCAAUGAUAAUGCUAAAUGGCUGGUGGAUGUAAAUAAUUAGUGGUCAAUAUAUUAUCCAUGAUAUGUGGCAAGUUUGAAAGUUGGAAAUGCAGAAUCCCUGUUCUGGUCAUAUUAUUGUACUUGGAUCUGCUGGGAACCAUUUGAUACUCUGGGAUUCUCAUUGAGAAUCCAGUGAUAGCUAAUGUUGAAUAUUGCUUGCUGCUGGGCAACAGUGACUGUCAAAACAUUCCGUCACCACUUUUUUUUUUCAGUUUAGAAAAAGGGUCUUGGAUGUUGCCUAGGCUGGCCGGAAACUCCUGAAGUCAAGUGAUUCUCCUGUCUUUGCCUUUAGUUCUGGAAGUACUGGGAGUGAACCUCUGCACCAGGAUUUCCCUCACCAUUUUCUGUAAAAUGGCUUACUACAAAGAACAUUUCUGUAGUAUAUUUUUAUGUAUGUAUGUAUUAUGUAUUUAUUUAUUUAUUUAUUUUUGAGACAGAGUCACAAUGCUGCCCAGGCCCUAGUGCAGUGGUGUGAUCUUAGCUUACUGCAACAUCUGCUUCUGUGUUCAAGAGAUUCUCCUGCCUUAGCCUGUGGAGUAGCUGGAAUUACAGGUGCACACCACCAAGCCCGGCUAAUUUUUAUCUUCUUUGGUAGAGACCGUGUACACACACACACACACACACACACACACACACACAUUUAGGUAGAUACGAGGUCUCGCUCACAGCAGCUUCAGCAAACACAGAUUUCUGGUGUUGGAGGACAGAUUUAACUACAGAAAAUUCUGUUGGGCAAUCGGAAGCCUCAAUCUAUACAGACUUUUAGGAGGAGCCUGCCUGUUUGGUUCAAAUUUAGCCAAAAUAUUUUUUUUUUACCACUGAUUCAGUAAAUCUCCUAACUUUGCAGGAACUGGGAUCCUAAAAAUUAUGGAACGAAUUGUAGAAACUCAAGCAACUUUCUCCAAAGCCUAGGGUUCAGCAAGAGUAAGCAAGAGGCACUGAGCCGCUGGAGUCUGCACAUUGAUAAAUUUACUUACAGUCGUAAAUAAAUUGCAUCAUCUUCAGCUAGUAACACAGAGUCUAAUUUUUAUAGCGGCAUACUUGCCUCCACGACUUUCCUAGACACCAGAAAGAAAGGCGAGAGCCAGCCUUAGCCUAAUCAAGAACCAUGAUCCAAAAAGGAGUGGGAGGAACCUAGCGGCCACGUGGGAAUCCCAGCCCUCCUAUUAAGCCUACCCUCUUUGCAAAUUGUGACUGUGAGCUCCUGGUUUACAGAAAUAUAUCCCAGAACUCAAGCAACAUGAGCCACUAUAAUUGUCUCUGGAAGGUGACCCAUUUGCAGAUAGGGACUUCCCUGAAGGUUGGGGCCCUCAUGAGCUAUGCUUUCCACCAAGUUGUCUCUAUAAGGACCAGUUCCAGGACCUCAGGGAGGAAAUUUCACUUUCUGCCUUGGUGGAAUGUGAAGUGAGUGGCUCCCCGGCCACACCCCACCCUCCAUAAAAUAGAAGGUAAAUCCCAACUGCCAAAAGCUUUUUGUCCUCCUCUCAGGGAUACUAAUUAAAGCAGUUGGGCUACUUUUUCAUGCAUUUCAUCUCAAGUUGUCUUUCUGCCUAUCUCCUGAGCCCAGCGAAAGAGUUCCUUAAAAUAACCCUCAAACCUCUGUAGUAAAGGACCACACAAAUAACGAAUGCCAUGAAAAAACAGGGCUAGAGGUUUCAGAGGAUGAGAAAGGAAGAGCAGCCAGAACACUGGCUGUCUAGGUAUGCUACUGGUGCCUGACUCUGCACCUGUGUGUGUCUGUGUGCUGUGUUCCAAUGGCAGAGCAUCGGGGCCACCAGAACUCUCUCAGCUACCGCACAUGGAGAGGGAGGAGUGAUAAAGAGAAAUCAAGAAACUCAGUUUCUUUGAAAUGGAAAUCAAUAAACUCAGUUUCCUCAAAGUUCAAAAUACAUGAGACUGCCUACCCUCCUUGGAAGGCAAGGUGGGGCUUUCUGAAGCAAAUACCAGCUUUAAAAAAAAAUGUAUAUAUAUAUGAAGAUAUAUACAAAAAAAAAAUUUCCCCACAACCAGACAAUCAGAAUCAUCAAACCCAGAAGGGUUAAAGAAAAAGAAAAGGCCCAGGAAAGUAUGAUUGGUGGGGAUCAAAAGUAUCUCUCCACAGUGGUAAAUGAGAAUUCUCAAAAAGAGUAAAAUUAUAAUUCUCAUGCACAUAUAAAAUAAAUAUGUAUUACAGAUUUUACUUAAACCAUAUAGCUCAAAAUUAGCUAACAAGGAAGACAUUAUAACCUGUUCAAAGAGAAGCCAAAGAAGGGAAAUUUAUAUGCUGUAAAGAAAUAUUUAAAGGAAUAUGGCAAAACUGACUCUUAAUAGGAGAUGCCCUAUGUGGUACAUAAUUUGUUUGUGUAUCUACACACAUGAAUUAUUUUGCACUUGUAUCACUAUCUACAACUUACACUGUUGUAAAGUAACUCCCACACAAUCAGAAUCAUAUAACCCAAAAAGGUAUCUUCCCUAACCAAACAAGGUUUUCCAAUAAAGCACUAUUUUGUCUCACAUUGCCAUAUUUUAAUGGCCUUUGAAAAUAUUAUUUCUAGAAAAGGGUUUGAAGGAAAUUUGGUUGGACUUGACUUUUGUACCCUUGUUAUCAUUAUCAUUAUUAUUAGUGGUAAUUGUAGUUCCCUGCUGAGACUAAGCACUCAGCUCUUGAAAUGCCAAUCUCAAGACUUUUUCUUCCAAAGCUUCCAGAAAUAAUGGAAGAAUGUGUAGGCUGCAUGCACAAUGAAAGCCAGUAAGUAGAGGAAGACUCUACAAAGUUAUGUUUGUUUCAGAAACAGUAGUAGUGACAAAAAUAUAUGAAGAUAUGCAAUAGGACUAAGUUAAAGUAACAUGCAAUUAUUUCUAAAACUCAGAAUUGUAUUUUACCCAUCUGAUUCUGCCAGGUUUUGUUUCCAUGAGACAUGCAGUCUCAUGGAGAGAUAAACGCAGUCUUGGGUUGGCUGAUGAUGUUUUGGGGACAGCCACAUUAUUUUAAUAUUAAUUUUAUUCUUAUUUAACAUAGUUUUAGUACUGCUGAUGUGGAAUAUUCUUAACAAUGUCUGUUUUUUGGGAAAUAAUAAGCUUAAAAUCUUGAUAACUGCUUCUGGGGCAGCAGUCAGGGCCUAGCUCCUCUCUGAGACUCCAGAGGUCAUGCUUAUCCAGUCAAGGCAACUUUUCAAGGCAAGUAGGAUCCAGGAUUCCUGUCAAGUAAGUGGGCUCAGUCCUGACUGACAAACAAACAAGCACAAAAACAACCCCUCCCCACAAAAAAACACACAUACAAGCUUGGGUGGAAAGCCAGUAUACAGUACCUGAGGAAAGACAAGAAGAGCAAACUGAAAAGAAACCAGAGAGGCUAAGAAAAUAGCCUAGAUAAAAGGAAAAUGGUGAUGAAGAUAUUCAAAAGUACCUCUCUGAUAGUUACACCAUCCUGCAUUCAGAGUCCAUGUUUCAUAUUAUAAUCUUCUCACUGCCUUUGUCUUUGUUUUUUUU